Molecule: long non-coding RNA, 1224 nt
Organism: Eptesicus fuscus (big brown bat)
Lineage: Eukaryota; Metazoa; Chordata; Mammalia; Chiroptera; Vespertilionidae
Exons: 3
Source: RefSeq, a predicted model, not a curated record
UUCCUCCGUUCCUCCUCACAGCUGUCCUGAACACCCAGCCUCCGAGCUGCGCUGCGUUACUACCAGUUUUCAGAUUGUCUUCCUAGGAAGGAAGAGCUCCGAAUUUUCUCUCAACCGUUCUUGUGGCCAAGAAGCGGGAUGGGGACAAGAGGCCUGGUGACCCCCCAAGCUGAAGUUAAAGAAAACCCUGGCUGUUGUGACUCUGCACUUAAAGCACCACCCUGAGCAUCAAAGUGUCCUGGCUUGGAUUCCCAGACCUGGAUGGCUGGUUCAAUGCCCAGGGGCAAAUUAUCCUGCAGUGAGGAUUAACAACACAGACAAACAAGGAAACAAACAAAGAAAAACAGAGGUGAAAAACUGGAGGGGAAAGCUUUCGCCACCUGUGCAGCCUCCAACAAGAUAAUUUCCACAUUGAGGAAAAGCUGUAAUUCCUGAGGACUGGGCAGGGCUUUUAAGGUGGCUGAGCCUCAGCAUUCCUCUGUGUGGAGAGGUGACACCGGAAUCCUAAUAGGAAGCAGGGAACGGGUGGGAUGGCAGAGACCAGAGAGCUGAGGUGCAGGAUCACAGGCCGAGCUCCUGAGGGAGAAAGCCACAGGUUGACACCUGUGAGUUCAAUCUCAGUGAAUGCCUUUGACCCAGAGAGAUCACAGGAGCUGAGCGAUUCUAAGAAUAAUUAUAGUCGACAUGCAUGGAGCAUGUACACUUUGCUGGGCAUUGUUUAAGGCAGUGCCUGCUUUCAGCCCCUGAUACAUUGGAUAACAUAGCUCUGCUCUAUUUGGUCAUGUGAAAGAGAACACGCAGGCCCAGAAUGGCACCACUCACGCUUAAAAGCCCAUGACUCCGAACCUAACUUUAAUACCUGACUUAACUGCAAUUGCAGUCUUCCCCAGAAAUGUCAUCUCAAUGAACCAGACUGGAAUUUUCCAGUCAAGCACCAGGUAGGUGAUCUGUCUCAUGGACCUCUCCAUCUCUGAUACACUCCCCCCCCCCCGCCCCCACCUCAAGAUACAAUGUGCAUAGAAAACCCUUGCUGUUCUUGCCCCGCCCCCUCCACAGAAGAUGGCCAGAGUAAUAAUAAUCCUUUCCUUUGUUAACAGCACCUCUGGCUCAGCCUCUCCCUAUUAAAACCUUCCAUUCUGUGUGGCCCCUGGGAGUUCUGCUCUAGUUGCUAGAGAGGAUGCUGCCUGGUUCAUAAAUCUUUUAAUAAAGCCAAUUAAAUCUUUA